GUUUAUCUGGUGUCUUAAGUGGCAUGGAUCCGGUGUACAGCGCUCAACAGAGGGAUAAUGACACUGUUUAUUCUCGCCAGCCCGGGACAGGCUGACACAGUGUGUACACGGGGAAGGGAUGGAGGCUUCUGGAAAGGGGAAUCAAGAAUCGUUCUCUCCCGCCAGGAACAAGGUGCUGAGCGUCUGCUCCCAGGCUGCACUUGCCAGGAAAAAUGUUGGGAUUCCACCUGGCAUCUCGAAGAGCCAGCACUGAGCUGAAGCCAGGGGAACCCCAUCUGGGAAGAGAACGGAGAGACCCAACAGACCCUAGGAUACCACCUGCCCACGGUCACCAUUGUCGUCUCCUCCCCCAAGCCCCCCGCAGAAAUCCGCAUGUUGAUCUAGAGCUCUGAAAGCACAGGUGUUGAAAAGUAUUUUGCUCCAAACAAACAAACUUAUGUUUCCCAGCGAUCAGCAUCUUAAAAGACAAAGCUCCUACGAUGGGAAUUCAAGAGAGUCACAGAAGCCGGGCGUUGCUCUCUCCAUUUGGACCUGUUGGACCCAAGGCUCCCAGAGGCUUGUGACUUGCCUCAGGUUACCGAGAGUCAGUGACAGGACCGGGAUUAGAACAGGUCCAUGAGAACUCCAGCUUCAUGCUCACUACUCCAGCAAGCUGAGGAAGGACACACCUCCCUCUGACUUCUGCCAAGGGGAACACAGGACUACAGACACUCCUUGAUGGGACUACACCCCAACCAGAAGAUGAAGGCACCACAAGUCAAUGAUGGGUUUAAUACACUUAACCCGGCAAACAGCACAGCUUGGGCACACAAUGCAGAUUGUGGGCCCUUGUGGGUGUGUGCCCAGUUGGAGGCUGCAGUUCUUCGCCUCUGCGGGUGUCAUCAGAGAGUACAGCACUGCAUAGCACCAGGAGAGUACAGCACUGCAUAGCACCAGGCUGGGAAGGGGUCAAACAUUAGUGGUUCCUAUUGAUCAUUCAUUGCACCAAUUGGAGAUUGGGAGUUGAAUUAGUAGAAGUCUGGGGCCUCUAUUCUUAAGCAUAGUCACAUGCUAGGCAUGCUCUAGGCUACUGCUUUUGGAAUCUGGCUUUAAGAUCACAUCUCCUCAUCGACAUUUUAUUUCGCCUACACAUGGAGGCCUGAGGUUGAUUUCAGGUGUCCUCUUCAGUUGCUGUCUUAUACAGUGAGGGAAAGUCUCUCAGCUGAAACCCAGCUCACCAGUUUGGCUUGUCUACACAUCCAAUUUGCUCCAAGAAUCCCCCUGUGUCCACUUCUCAAGCUCUGGGGUUUACAAGGCACCCACUCGAUGUUUAUAUGUGAGCUAUCGAUCUGAACCCAGACUUGCUGGGCUAGCACUUUACCCUCUGAUCCAUUCCUCUGGCAUCCCCAUUUCAUUAAUGAGGAAGACGAUCGUCUUCACAGUUCAAUGACUGACCAAGGCAGCAGAGCUGGUAAGUAUCAGAGACUACCUGUUCUUCGAGUUUCCGAGCUCUGUUCUUUAUGGUCAGGGCAGAAUUUCUCCUUGUCCGCCUAGGACAUAGGAUUUGAAGUCAGAUAACUUAGAACAAUUUAGGGCCCAGAACACCUAUUUUGUUAUUCUGUUCUUUUAGCCAACUUAAUCACUUCGGGCCUUUGCUUCAUCUGUAAAAGGGACAAAAGUAAGACCCGUCCUGCCUAAGGGAGAGUGCUUCUCCCCUGGGUGUGGCCUUUAGGGUGGGUGAGGCCUCCUCAUGCUACUCACUAUACCUCACAGUACUCAGCGGGCUUUAAAUCCAGCACAGAAAUCACUAAAUAAAUCUUUGUGUGCCUUCAAGGUGGCUGGGCAAAUGAAGAUGCUUGUCACCAAGCCUCAUGUCCUGAGUUUGAUUCCCGGACCCCAUGGUAAAACUGGAGCACAGACUCCUGAUAAUUGUCCUCUAGCUAUGUGUAUGCAUGGCGAGUCUUGCCUACCCCCAAGGCACACAUUAAAUCAGUACGUGUUUUACACGUCUCCGGAAUUCAAUUCAAUGAAGUGAGUCAACAGGUUAGAAAAAAAAAAUCGCAACAUCUUCUUGGGGCCAAGUUUGAUGGAGUGGGUUGUGGUGGUUCCACUCACUUGCAACUGUUUUCUUAUUUGCUUUGUUUAGCAAAUUCCUUCACAGUGAGCAGGGGAGGGAGCCUGGGAAGUCAAGGGAAGGGUGUGGGAAGAUGCUGGAAUGGGGAAGGAGCUGAGAUUGUUGGGUGAACAUAUUGCUGUCUGUGUGGAGAAUGUUCACAGCA
This 2258-nucleotide small RNA is filed under the name Rattus norvegicus (Norway rat). RNAcentral's name for it is "uncharacterized LOC102551127". Lineage: Eukaryota; Metazoa; Chordata; Mammalia; Rodentia; Muridae. The record is from RNAcentral.